This 170-nucleotide ribosomal RNA is filed under the name uncultured bacterium. RNAcentral's name for it is "partial 16S ribosomal RNA". It matches the Rfam family "Bacterial small subunit ribosomal RNA", at positions 338 to 525 of the family's 1533-position model. The record is from RNAcentral.
CCUACGGGAGGCAGCAGUGGGGAAUAUUGCACAAUGGGGGAAACCCUGAUGCAGCGACGCCGCGUGAGCGAAGAAGGUUUUCGAAUCGUAAAGCUCUGUCCUAUGGGAAGAUAAUGACGGUACCAUAGGAGGAAGCCCCGGCUAACUACGUGCCAGCAGCCGCGGUAAUA